UACGGAGGGUGCAAGCGUUGUUCGGAAUUAUUGGGCGUAAAGCGCGUGUAGGCGGCUUGAUAAGUCUGGUGUGAAAGCCCGGGGCUUAACCCCGGAAGUGCACUGGAUACUAUCUAGCUAGAGGGUCGGAGAGGGAAGCGGAAUUCUUGGUGUAGGGGUGAAAUCCGUAGAUAUCAAGAGGAACACCGAUGGCGAAGGCAGCUUCCUGGCCGACAUCUGACGCUGAGACGCGAAAGCGUGGGUAGCAAACAGG
This 253-nucleotide ribosomal RNA is filed under the name uncultured bacterium. RNAcentral describes it as "partial 16S ribosomal RNA". It matches the Rfam family "Bacterial small subunit ribosomal RNA", at positions 524 to 776 of the family's 1533-position model. The record is from RNAcentral.